ACCGGAUCUCUUGCGUCCGCCUCCGCCGUGCGACCUCCGCAUUCUCCCGCGCCGCGCCGCGCCACGCCUCCUUCCCGCGUGAACAUUCCUCCUUCCCGCGCGAGCGAUUCCACCAUCUCCCCCGUCCGGCGCCUACGGAGUACACCGCAACCGGUCGCCCCAAUCCGGCGCCUAGACCGUGACCCACCCGCCAUCUUCCGCAAGACCGAAUCCCCAACCCACCCACCAUCUUCCGCCGCCCCCGUCCCCGUCCCCGGCCAUGGAUCCGUCGCCGGCCGUGGAUCCGUCGCCGGCCGUGGAUCCGUCGCCGGCUGCUGAAACCCGGCGGCGUGCAACCGGGAAAGGAGGCAAACAGCGCGGGGGCAAGCAACUAGGAUUGAAGAGGCCGCCGCCGAUUUCUGUCCCGGCCACCCCGCCUCCUGCUGCGACGUCUUCAUCCCCUGCUGCGCCGACGGCCAUCCCACCACGACCACCGCAAUCUUCGCCGAUUUUCGUCCCCGAUUCGCCGAAUCCGUCACCGGCUGCGCCGACCUCCUCUCUUGCUUCGGGGACAUCGACGGCAAGGCCACCGCAACCACAAGGAGGAGGAUGGGGACCAACAUCGACCAUUUCCCCAAACUUUGCAUCUUUCUUUGGAAACCAACAAGACCCAAAUUCAUGUUUGGUCAGGGGUUAUCCUCCAGGAGGGUUUGUCAAUUUUAUUCAACAAAAUUGUCCGCCGCAGCCACAACAGCAAGGUGAAAAUUUUCAUUUCGUUGGUCACAAUAUGGGAUUCAACCCAAUAUCUCCACAGCCACCAAGUGCCUACGGAACACCAACACCCCAAGCUACGAACCAAGGCACUUCAACAAACAUUAUGAUUGAUGAAGAGGACAACAAUGAUGACAGUAGGGCAGCAAAGAAAAGAUGGACUCAUGAAGAGGAAGAGAGACUGGCCAGUGCUUGGUUGAAUGCUUCUAAAGACUCAAUUCAUGGGAAUGAUAAGAAAGGUGAUACAUUUUGGAAGGAAGUCACUGAUGAAUUUAACAAGAAAGGGAAUGGAAAACGUAGGAGGGAAAUUAACCAACUGAAGGUUCACUGGUCAAGGUUGAAGUCAGCGAUCUCUGAGUUCAAUGACUAUUGGAGUACGGUUACUCAAAUGCAUACAAGCGGAUACUCCGACGACAUGCUUGAGAAAGAGGCACAGAGGCUGUAUGCAAACAGGUUUGGAAAACCUUUUGCGUUGGUCCAUUGGUGGAAGAUACUCAAAGAUGAGCCCAAAUGGUGUGCUCAGUUUGAAUCAGAGAAAGACAAGAGCGAAAUGGAUGCUGUUCCAGAACAGCAGUCACGUCCUAUUGGUAGAGAAGCAGCAAAGUCUGAGCGCAAUGGAAAGCGCAAGAAAGAAAAUGUUAUGGAAGGCAUUGUCCUCCUAGGGGACAAUGUCCAGAAAAUUAUAAAGGUCCACGAAGACCGGAGGGUGGAUCGUGAAAAGGCCACCGAAGCACAGAUUCAGAUAUCAAAUGCAACAUUGUUGGCCGCUAAGGAGCAGAAGGAAGCAAAGAUGUUCGAUGUGUACAAUACUCUAUUAAGUAAGGAUACAAGCAACAUGUCUGAAGAUCAAAUGGCUAGCCACCAGAGGGCAAUACGGAAAUUAGAGGAGAAGCUAUUUGCGGAUUAAGGUGAGUUUUAUAAACUGACCACUAUUUUCUGAAAUGUAUGAAUUCUGAAAUUUAUAUACAAUUGUGUAAACAUGGAAAAUUAGAUAAUGUAUGCAUGAUGCACAACAUGUGCGUGCAGCACUAUUUAAUGGCAGUUUCACAAGUGUGAAAACUGACCACUAUAGUACUAUUGUGGUGUGAAAACUGACCACUACUAUUGUGGUGUGAAUGCUACUGUGGUGUGAAAACUGACCACUAUAGUUUCACAUUCCUGGAUGCAGCCCUCCUCUAUAUAUAUAGAUACAGUCCUCAUCUCUUCCUGGCAUACACACAGCCCUCUUCUCUAAUUCCUGGACGCAGUCCUCAUCUCUUCCUGGCAUAGACGCAGCCCUUCUCUCUUCCUGUUUAGUUCAACAACAUUGAGGUGAUCUGCCUUUCUUUGAAGUUUCUAUCUUUUUUCACUGCUGUGAAUGAUUAUUUCUCUGCUGUGAAUGAUUAUUUCUCCAAUCUUCCUUUGUUCACCUUCUCUCUUUCUCUGCUGUGAAGAUGUCUGGAAAUGAAAAUCAGAUUCCUGUGUCCUUGUUGGACGAGUUUCUCGCUGAGGAUGAGAUCAUGGAUGAGAUAAUGGAUGAUGUUCUCCAUGAAAUGAUGGUGUUAUUGCAGUCCUCCAUCGGAGAUCUUGAAAGAGAGGCUGCUGACCAUCGUUUGCAUCCAAGGAAGCACAUCAAGAGGCCACGAGAGGAAGCACAUCAAAAUUUGGUGAAUGAUUAUUUCUCUGAAAAUCCUCUAUAUCCUUCCAAUAUUUUUCGCCGAAGAUUUCGUAUGUACAGGCCGCUGUUUUUACGUAUUGUGGACGCAUUAGGCCAGUGGUCAGAUUACUUUACUCAGAGGGUAGAUGCCGCUGGUAGGCAAGGGCUUAGUCCAUUACAAAAGUGUACUGCAGCAAUUCGCCAAUUGGCUACUGGUAGUGGUGCUGAUGAACUAGAUGAGUAUUUGAAGAUUGGAGAGACUACUGCUAUGGAUGCUAUGAAAAAUUUUGUGAAAGGAAUUAGAGAAGUAUUUGGUGAAAGAUAUCUCAGGCGUCCCACUGUAGAAGAUACUGAACGACUACUCGAGCUUGGUGAGAGACGCGGUUUUCCUGGUAUGUUCGGUAGCAUUGACUGUAUGCAUUGGCAAUGGGAAAGGUGCCCAACUGCGUGGAAGGGUCAGUUCACUCGUGGUGAUCAAAAAGUGCCAACGCUGAUUCUUGAGGCAGUGGCAUCACAUGAUCUUUGGAUUUGGCAUGCGUUCUUUGGAGUAGCAGGUUCUAACAAUGAUAUCAAUGUUUUGAGCCGAUCUACUGUGUUUAUCAAUGAGCUGAAAGGACAAGCUCCUAGAGUGCAGUACAUGGUAAAUGGGAAUCAAUACAACGAAGGUUAUUUUCUUGCUGAUGGAAUUUACCCUGAAUGGAAGGUAUUUGCUAAGUCAUAUCGACUCCCUAUCACUGAGAAGGAGAAGUUGUAUGCACAACAUCAAGAAGGGGCAAGAAAGGAUAUCGAGAGAGCAUUUGGUGUUCUACAACGUCGAUUCUGCAUCUUAAAACGACCAGCCCGUCUAUAUGACCGAGGUGUACUCCGUGAUGUUGUCCUAGGUUGCAUCAUACUUCACAAUAUGAUAGUUGAAGAUGAGAAGGAAGCGCGACUUAUUGAAGAAAAUCUAGAUUUAAAUGAGCCUGCUAGUUCAUCAACGGUUCAGGCACCAGAAUUCUCUCCUGACCAGCAUGUUCCAUUAGAAAGAAUUUUAGAAAAGGAUACUAGUAUGAGAGAUCGUUUGGCUCAUCGCCGACUCAAGAAUGAUUUGGUGGAACAUAUAUGGAAUAAGUUUGGUGGUGGUGCACAUUCAUCUGGAUGAAACAAGGAACUAGGUUUCUGAACGCAUUACGGACUGAAGGUUGAGGGGCAGAAUGAUCCACCCAGUUGCUUCUAUCAGAUCACUAAAGUUUCAUUUCACUGUUUUAUUUUGGACACUUGAUGCUUGUGUGCAUCCGAUGAAUGUUUAAUUUGGUCACCUGAUGCUUGUGUGCAUCCGAUGAAUGUUUAAUUUGGUCACCUGAUGCUUGUAUGCAGUUAUCUAUCUUAUUUGUUAAUGUUGCUGGUACUGAGGAUUUUUAGAAGUGAAAUGCACAAGUUGCUGUGUUUUUUGACUGAUC
Molecule: non-coding RNA, 3825 nt
Organism: Oryza sativa Japonica Group (Japanese rice)
Lineage: Eukaryota; Viridiplantae; Streptophyta; Magnoliopsida; Poales; Poaceae
Source: RefSeq, a predicted model, not a curated record